Molecule: long non-coding RNA, 462 nt
Organism: Triplophysa dalaica
Lineage: Eukaryota; Metazoa; Chordata; Actinopteri; Cypriniformes; Nemacheilidae
Exons: 3
Source: RefSeq, a predicted model, not a curated record
GUUGUCUCGCUGUGAAAAGCAGCAUAUGGGGGUGGGGACUUCAUUUCCCAUACUUCCUCUCAGUAGAAGAACCAGAAGUCCGUAAUUCAAAUUCUACCGCGGAAGCAUCCUUUGUGUUGAUCUUCAAUACAGUUCGGUAAAUUGAAGCUUUAUUUAAAUCUAAACUAACAGAUUUUGCUACCUACUCGAUUGGCUUUUUUGUUCAUAUGCAAAAGUUUAUCCACGAUUGCAGAUUUGUUGGACGUUGUGCUUGCAGUCUGGAGUAAAAUAAAGAAAAAAAAGAACACGACAGUAGCGCAUCUUGUGGAACAGCAGACUCAUCUCCAGUCAAAGAUAGACUUCCUGCAGAGGCAAACAAAAAGGAAAACAAAGUACUUGAUCUUGGAGUGGAUGUGAAGACACAGUCUGGUGAAUGAAGCUGGCAAUAAAAAACCCAGGCCAAAACUGUGAACUGGAGAGCUG